Molecule: ribosomal RNA, 252 nt
Filed under: uncultured bacterium
Lineage: Bacteria
Description: partial 16S ribosomal RNA
Rfam family: Bacterial small subunit ribosomal RNA
Source: RNAcentral
UACAGAGGGUGCGAGCGUUAAUCGGAAUUACUGGGCGUAAAGCGUGCGUAGACGGUUAUGUAAGUCGGGUGUGAAAGCCCGGGCUCAACCUGGGAAUUGCAUUCGAGACUGUGUAGCUAGGGUGCGGAAGAGGGAAGCGGAAUUUACGGUGUAGCGGUGAAAUGCGUAGAUAUCGUAAGGAAGACCAGUGGCGAAGGCGGGUCUCUGGACAGUUCCUGACGCUGAGGCACGAAGGUCAGGGGAGCAAACGGG